RNAcentral lists this ribosomal RNA (253 nucleotides) under uncultured bacterium. RNAcentral's name for it is "partial 16S ribosomal RNA". It matches the Rfam family "Bacterial small subunit ribosomal RNA", at positions 524 to 776 of the family's 1533-position model. The record is from RNAcentral.
UACGUAGGCAGCGAGCGUUGUUCGGAGUUACUGGGCGUAAAGAGUGCGUAGGCGGUUUUCUAAGUUUGGUGUGAAAUCUCCCGGCUUAACUGGGAGGGUGCGCCGAAGACUGGAAGGCUUGAGUAUGGGAGAGGUAAGCGGAAUUCCUGGUGUAGCGGUGAAAUGCGUAGAUAUCGGGAGGAACACCGGUGGCGAAGGCGGCCCCCUGGUUGGAUACUGACGCUGAGACGCGAAAGCGUGGGGAGCAAACAGG